This 1029-nucleotide long non-coding RNA is filed under the name Equus caballus (horse). RNAcentral's name for it is "lncRNA (ENSECAG00000052346.1)". The record is from RNAcentral. Lineage: Eukaryota; Metazoa; Chordata; Mammalia; Perissodactyla; Equidae.
UGAAAUAUCAGAAUAGAAAUACAACUAUGUUUAUUGCCUGCAGGGAUUAGGAUCAGAGAUGAUCCGAGCCCCGUAAAUAGGCCUCCACGACCGCAGACCCACUGGAGAAAGCGGGGAUUGUGAGCACCAAAGGAAACAGGCUCCAAGGAACACUCAGCCUCCUGUUUUCUCCUGGGGCUCUGCAUAUGCUGAUGGUGGCCAGGUGGAUGUUAUUGUCCCUUAUGUUGCAUCGAGGCAGAUGACAUAGUCCUAGGGAUAAGAUGAGCUGCUUACAUUUGAAGUUAAAAUCAUACUUCUACCAACUUUGGUGUGUGAAAAACGGCACAGCAUUGGCACACUAUUGGAAAAGAGAAGCUUUAUUACAGAGAGGAACAAGAACUUAGAGCGACAAGAAACUCUAUGAACUAGGAGGCUCAGGAGUUCGUCGGGGAAGAGCCCCUUGGAUGAGAACAGGACCACUCCCUGGCCAGCGGAAUGGGAGCCCAUCAAAGAGACUCUUUUGGCUUCUUUUAUGGGAUGGAGGAAGAUGGUGCACUGAGUCUUCCUAAGAAAUGUACUACUCUUGAGUCCCAGAGACUGUCUUCUAUUUGUUUGUGCGUAAGGUCCAAAUGACUUUGUUUCUGCUCACAUUCAUUUCUGGUCCACAGAAUUUUUAAUUCAUUACGUUUCAUCUCAUAGAGCAUAAUGCUAACAGUGUCUUUAAACAUAGUUAGCUAUAAGAGGGCUAAUUUCUUAUCAAUGCCCAAAACUUCCUGUGAGAGGUUUGGCUGAUGAUUUCCCCCUUUCAUGUAAUAUAUAAGGUCAAAGUUUAAUAAAGUCCAGAGCCACACUCUAUAUGUCAUUUGGUAGUCUCUAGUCUAGAAUAUGUGUAUAUCCCAAUUUUUGAACAAUAAAAUUAUGAGGAAAAAGGACAUUGUAGUUGACUGGAUUGUUGGUUCUUUUUACAGACUCCUGAAGUUUUCUCUGUGUGUUACUUGGUGUCCGUGUCCCCAGCUCUGCAGUAAAAGUCUAAAGAAAAUGGAAUCCUUU